GAUCAUGGCUCAGAUUGAACGCUGGCGGCAUGCUUUACACAUGCAAGUCGAACGGUAACAGGCCUUCGGGCGCUGACGAGUGGCGAACGGGUGAGUAAUAUAUCGGAACGUGCCCAGUCGUGGGGGAUAACGUAGCGAAAGUUACGCUAAUACCGCAUACGAUCUAAGGAUGAAANCGGGGGAUCGCAAGACCUCGCGCGAUUGGAGCGGCCGAUAUCAGAUUAGGUAGUUGGUGAGGUAAAGGCUCACCAAGCCAACGAUCUGUAGCUGGUCUGAGAGGACGACCAGCCACACUGGAACUGAGACACGGUCCAGACUCCUACGGGAGGCAGCAGUGGGGAAUUUUGGACAAUGGACGCAAGUCUGAUCCAGCCAUUCCGCGUGCAGGAUGAAGGCCCUCGGGUUGUAAACUGCUUUUGUACGGAACGAAAAGGUUUCUCUUAAUACGAGGAGCUCAUGACGGUACCGUAAGAAUAAGCACCGGCUAACUACGUG
RNAcentral lists this ribosomal RNA (495 nucleotides) under uncultured bacterium. Its description in RNAcentral is "bacterial SSU rRNA". It matches the Rfam family "Bacterial small subunit ribosomal RNA", at positions 15 to 507 of the family's 1533-position model. The record is from RNAcentral.